Molecule: RNA transcript, 3250 nt
Organism: Photinus pyralis (common eastern firefly)
Lineage: Eukaryota; Metazoa; Arthropoda; Insecta; Coleoptera; Lampyridae
Gene: SC35
Gene name: serine/arginine-rich splicing factor 2
Exons: 5
Source: RefSeq, a predicted model, not a curated record
CAUUUGUCGGCGUCAUCUUGACCUCCAUUUUGUUGUAAUUCGUAAGACGCGUAGAGGUGAUUUCUUUUGCAAAUUUUUGAGUUUUUUUUCGAUUUCCAAAAGUAAAUAUUUACGGAGGACGAGUUCCUUUCAAUGAUGAGUUACGGUAGGCCUCCGCCUCGCAUCGAAGGCAUGGUUUCGUUAAAAGUUGAUAACCUUACUUAUCGGACCACGCCAGAAGAUUUACGCCGGGUUUUCGAACGCUGCGGCGAAGUCGGUGAUGUUUAUAUUCCCAGGGAUCGCUUCACCAGAGAAAGUCGUGGAUUUGCGUUCGUCAGAUUUUAUGAUAAGCGGGAUGCCGAAGACGCACUCGACGCCAUGGACGGUCGUAUGUUGGACGGAAGGGAGUUGAGAGUGCAAAUGGCCCGCUACGGACGUCCGACAUCUCCACAUCGCCGAUAUGGACGUUCUAGCCGGAGAAGGCGAAGCAGGUCAAGAUCCCACCGUCGCCGUUCACCAAGUCGCAGCCACUCCAAGUCGAGGUCAAGGUCUCGUUCCGAUAGUAAGAGCUCGAGGGGAAGGUCUCGAUCACGUUCCAAAUCUGACAAGCCGUCUGGCAGCAAGUCACGUUCCAGAUCGAAAUCCUAAGCCGUUCUUAUAAAACGUGGGUCAUUGUGGCGUAAAUAUUACAUGAAAUCUUCAUCUUAAAAGGCGGAGUGCCUGGGGUGCUGUGCAGUGCAGACCAGUAGCAGUGCAGAGCGAGAAGGGGGAGAUAACGAGAGCCCGUGGCCUUUGCUGUAGUGGUGCGGCCAAUCUCCUGUAGCUGCCUGCAGUUUCAUGUGCAGACUUGCCAGACCAACAGUCUGUUUUGUGAUUGUUGCUCAAUUACAAAACAAAUACUGCUCGCAUACAUACUAAAGGGCAACUAUUUUUCACCAACAAAAUUUUUGGCAUUCAGUUUGCCAAAUCCUUUACUGUUUUUUCCAUUGAUAUUGAUUGUAAAUUACAUAAAAAACAUUUUUUGCAUAAAAUUACAAGUAAAAGGGUGGUAAUUGCUUAACCCACUUACGAAUGGUUUCCAUUUUUUCUAGAGGAAGUCAUUACUCUUUUUACUACUUUUUUUCCAACCAAAUCAAAGUAAUAUAACUUCACUUGUAUUACAUUCAGGUUGUGGAAAAUAGUACCAUUGUAUGGAAAAGUUUAAUAAUAAUAAUAGCAGACAUGUUACAAAUAAUCUAUGAAGUCAUUUGGACUACCUACCCUUUCCGAUCUUGUAAAAAUUUUUCCCCUUAACACCUAAUUUCGGAUCUCUUCAAAGUUAGCACCUUAGACGCUAAAAUAACUAAUCCAGACCUAGUUUUUGAAAAUUUCAGAAAACAUUAUCUUCACCUAUACCUAUUCACUAUACAUUUAUAAGAAAUGUUACAAUCAAUCUCAAUGAACAAAACUUUUCACAAACUUAAAAACCUUGCAAUGUUAUAGUUAAUUUCCUUUUUGAAAACUGCAAUACUGUAGCCAUUAGGUUACUGGGCUCGAAAAAAACUUGCAGUUCGUUAGCGUUUCAAGUAACGCUCUUGAAUCACUAACAUCUUAAGAAAUAAUUUGGUACAACAGUACCUUCAAAACUGACCUUGAGGGGUAAUAAUUGAACAUAAUUAAUAAUUCGAUAACAGAUUUGUGUAAUGGUUUGUCCCUUUUUAGUUCUCACAUAAAAGAUCAUGCUGAUCAAAUUUCGAUUUAAUUGAUCCAACUAACUUCAUAAUUUUUUUUAUUUUACUAAGAUAGUUCUUACAUACUCUUUUGUAAAACUUUACAAUUUGGCAUCCUAUACAAUUAUUAUCAUAUUAGAUCAUUAAGAAAUAGCCAAUAGAAAUAAGUUUAUGGUGCGUCGCUAACCGAGCCACCAUACAUUUGUUUGUAUUGGUUAUUUCUUAAUGAUAACGAUAGUGAACUAAUGAUAAUGAUUGUAUAAACCACCAUUAAAGGAAUUUAAUCGUAAAUUUUAGGAAGUAUACUCAUGUAUUGAUAAUUUGGUUGCACGCUUAUCGUUGGGAUUUUUAAUUUUCCUAUGGAGGAUGUAGGUGAUUUUAAUGGGCGAACAAAGGAGCGAAACGUAAAUCUUUCGCAAAUUACUCGAGAAUUGAAAACUUUGGUUGAGGUAACCACAACAUUUUUCCACCACUAUUUCUUUGCAUAUUCUGUAUACAGGAUAUUACUCGUAUUUCACAAGGACCAUUAAUUUUGCUGUGAUGCAUCUCUAAAAUGUUCAGUUGAACCAAAACAUUACUAUGCAACAGCUAUGACUCGAAAUAGACAGAUCCUAACAAUGUGGGUGUCUAAAUUCAAAUUGAAAAUGUGUAUUUUUGAAAUUUUUUUUUAAAUCAAUAACCCUCAAAGGCCAAGGGAUGAUCGAUUUUACUGAUUGUCACUUAUAAAUCGCCAAUGGAUUUAAAUAGGGUGGAUUAACAACAAAUGUAUUGAUUAUAAGCCAAAAAUUAACCUUUUGAUUAAAAUAAAUAAAUAAACCAUGCAACAUGUUACAUCAUUGAAAAGAGUAAAAAAAAUCUACCAAAUAAGCAUAAUGACAGGGUACGCUGUUUUUCGUUGCAUAUUUUUUUUCUAAAAUAAGAACUGAAUACUGCCUCAUUAUGAGAAAUAAUAUUAUAAACCCGGUUUUAUAUAAUCGCCCUUUUGCGACAAUUUGUUCAAUUUACAACCAUUACAGUCCCUGAAACAUGAUGUUUCAAUUUUUCAUUGAAUGUCAUAAUACCUAAAUUACACAAAAAUAAGCGCGGUUUGGCCUACGACCGAUCUUCCUCUUAGCUUGAAUAUAGCAAGCUAAGCUUACAUUCAACAUUGAUUAACAUAUGCAGAUUUUUAAGUUCAACUGAGCGUUUUUAGAAAUUGUAGCAUUAGAAUAAGUGGUUCACUAGGGAGUUCUCAAUUUAUAAAAGAUAAUUUAGCUGUGCUAUUGUCUAAAAGAAAAAUCAAAAUCCGCAUCUUUAAUUGGAGGUAUAAAGGUGGUUUGUUGACAGUUUAGUGAUUAUUUACUUGAUUAAGGAAUGUGAGCGUUCAGUCAUAUUGUUUGAUUUGUGAAUUCGGUUCGAUUGUAUGAAAUCAACUUAUAGUUUGGUGUUGAACCAAAUGAAUGGGUGCAUGUACAACUUUACCAAAGACUCCAUAAUUCGGAUGGUACUGUAAAUAUUCAUCUUUAUGUUCUGUUCAGUUUUUUGCUCAACAUUGCCAGUGCAAAAAUCUGUUCCUCUGCAUA